Molecule: ribosomal RNA, 213 nt
Filed under: uncultured Staphylococcus sp.
Lineage: Bacteria; Bacillati; Bacillota; Bacilli; Caryophanales; Staphylococcaceae
Description: partial 16S ribosomal RNA
Rfam family: Bacterial small subunit ribosomal RNA
Source: RNAcentral
CUACUAUAAGACUGGGAUAACUUCGGGAAACCGGAACUAAUACCGGAUAAUAUUUUGAACCGCAUGGUUCAAAAGUGAAAGACGGUCUUGCUGUCACUUAUAGAUGGAUCCGCGCUGCAUUAGCUAGUUGGUAAGGUAACGGCUUACCAAGGCAACGAUGCAUAGCCGACCUGAGAGGGUGAUCGGCCACACUGGAACUGAGACACGGUCCAG